Molecule: long non-coding RNA, 295 nt
Filed under: Chinchilla lanigera (long-tailed chinchilla)
Lineage: Eukaryota; Metazoa; Chordata; Mammalia; Rodentia; Chinchillidae
Description: lncRNA (ENSCLAG00000023489.1)
Source: RNAcentral
GUUAGUAUCAACGGUGGACCUGGAUCUGUUCUAGCCACACCAGAGUACUCCCUCCCAUCCUCAAAAAGGCAGCAGCAGUGCCUGAAGUAUCGGAGCAGGAACAGUAGAGCAAUGGUAGAGCAGCACCCACCCUGGAGAGGCGUGGAGGAUAGUGGUUGCCAGAAAACCAUCAAGGACACUGACAAAUAUGAUUUCACAUACCAAAUGCAAAAAUCAUAACUACCUGAUAUAAAUUAACAGCGCAUCUGAAAAGAUCAAGUAAGCUCAAUUAAUCCUUUCUUCUCUUUCAGUGAAG